CGCACUAGUUCUAGAGUUUGAUCCUGGCUCAGAGCGAACGCUGGCGGCAGGCUUAACACAUGCAAGUCGAACGGGCGACUUCGGUGCUAGUGGCAGACGGGUGAGUAACACGUGGGAACGUACCUUUCGGUUCGGAAUAAUUCAGGGAAACUUGGACUAAUACCGGAUACGCCCUUCGGGGGAAAGGAUUUAUUCGCCGAUAGAUCGGCCCGCGUCUGAUUAGCUAGUUGGUGAGGUAAUGGCUCACCAAGGCGACGAUCAGUAGCUGGUCUGAGAGGAUGAUCAGCCACAUUGGGACUGAGACACGGCCCAA
RNAcentral lists this ribosomal RNA (313 nucleotides) under uncultured bacterium. Its description in RNAcentral is "bacterial SSU rRNA". It matches the Rfam family "Bacterial small subunit ribosomal RNA", at positions 1 to 334 of the family's 1533-position model. The record is from RNAcentral.